AAGAAAAUAGAUUUUGGAAGUUAUGAGAGAGAAAGUAUUCAUUGAGCCAUCUUAACAAAAAAAUGUUCUUUCGUCUAAAGCAAGUUUGCUAAACUUCAUUUGAACUUUUAAGUCAGUCACUUGAUUGAGCCUCUGAGAAUAACAGAACACCUGUUGACCAAGCAAUGUUACUUCUGCUUCUUUUAAGGCAUCUUGCCAAAUUUGUCAUACUGUGAGACUACACAUGCUCCAUUAAAAGAGAAGACCAUGAAAAUAUUGAAAUAAAAAAAUAAAAGAAGUAUUAUUUCAUUUCUGUUUUGAUGAAUGGGAAAAAAAAAAUCAAGAACAAGAAGUUCCAAAGAGGCCGAAGAGUAAAUUAUUUCCGUUUAGGACACAAUUUUAUUAAUCCCAUUUUGAUCUGUAUUUUUGUAAUUUAUAGUGAUCAUCAUAAAGCAUAUGAAAACAGGCAACACCAAUAAAAUAUUCUCAAGUAACAUAGUCAGUUAUGUGGAAAAGUAAGGAAGGCCACAAGCGUAUGUAUAAUUUGCCAACU
This 532-nucleotide long non-coding RNA is filed under the name Homo sapiens (human). Its description in RNAcentral is "HSALNT0334761". The record is from RNAcentral. Lineage: Eukaryota; Metazoa; Chordata; Mammalia; Primates; Hominidae.